GAUGAACGCUGGCGGCGUGCCUAAUACAUGCAAGUCGAGCGAACAGACGAGAAGAUUGCUCCUCUAACGUUAGCGGCGGACGGGCGAGUAACACGUGGAUAACCUACCUAUAAUACGGGGAUAACUUCGGGAAGAAGGAGCUAAUACCGGAUAAUAUAAUGAACCGCAUGAUGCAAUAGUUAUAGACGGCUUUGCUGUCACUUAUAGACGGAUCCGCGUCGGAUUAGCUAGUUGGUAAGGUAACGGCUUACCAAGGCGACGAUGCGUAGCUGACCUGAGAGGGUGAUCGGCCACACUGGAACUGAGACACGGUCCAGACUCCUACGGGAGGCAGCAGUGGGGAAUAUUGGGCAAUGGGCGCAAGCCUGACGGAGCAACGCCGCGUGAGUGAAGAAGGUCUUCGGAUCGUAAAGCCCUGUUGUUGGGGAAGAACAGAUGUGUGAGUAACUACGGACGUCCUGACGGUACCUAAUGAGAAAGCAACGGCUAACUACGUG
This 497-nucleotide ribosomal RNA is filed under the name uncultured bacterium. Its description in RNAcentral is "partial 16S ribosomal RNA". It matches the Rfam family "Bacterial small subunit ribosomal RNA", at positions 28 to 507 of the family's 1533-position model. The record is from RNAcentral.